Long non-coding RNA from Cercocebus atys (sooty mangabey), 354 nucleotides. RefSeq lists it as uncharacterized. The record is from RefSeq and is a predicted model, not a curated record. NCBI's taxonomy places the organism in Eukaryota, Metazoa, Chordata, Mammalia, Primates, Cercopithecidae. The transcript has 4 exons.
GACUCUGUCUCAAAAAAAUAAAAUAAAAGAGUCAGAUAGAAAACAUCUGAGGCUCUGUGAGCCAUCCAGUCUCUGUCAUAAUUACUCAACUCUUACAUUGGAGGUAGGGUGAAAGCAACAAUAGAAACUUUGGAGUUUAACCCUUCUGCCAAUCCAGAGGCAAGCACAAUAUUCCAUGGGAACUGUCAAACAGAUGCUUUGGAGUUUAACCCUUCUGCCAAUGCAGAGGCAAGCACAAUAUUCCAGAGGAACUCUCAAACGGAUGUUAUAGAAAUAAGAAGAAGCAACUAUACAAACCACGUAAGUAAACAGUCAAAUAGUUAAGAAAUUGAUAGUUUGACAUAAAAGUGUGUC